Molecule: non-coding RNA, 74 nt
Organism: Cordylochernes scorpioides
Lineage: Eukaryota; Metazoa; Arthropoda; Arachnida; Pseudoscorpiones; Chernetidae
Source: the annotation of a GenBank genome assembly
GUCCAGGGAUGGGAAUCGAACCCAACAGUGUUCCGCUUACCGGGCAGAUGCCAUGUCCACUAGGCUACCCUGGA